GACGAACGCUGGCGGCGUGCUUAACACAUGCAAGUCGAACGGAAAGGCCCUGCUUUUGUGGGGUGCUCGAGUGGCGAACGGGUGAGUAACACGUGAGUAACCUGCCCUUGACUUUGGGAUAACUUCAGGAAACUGGGGCUAAUACCGGAUAGGAGCUCCUGCUGCAUGGUGGGGGUUGGAAAGUUUCGGCGGUUGGGGAUGGACUCGCGGCUUAUCAGCUUGUUGGUGGGGUAGGGGCUUACCAAGGCUUUGACGGGUAGCCGGCCUGAGAGGGUGACCGGCCACAUUGGGACUGAGAUACGGCGCAGUCUCCUACGGGAGGCAGUAGUGGGGAAUAUUGUACAAUGGGCGGAAGCCUGAUGCAGCAACGCCGCGUGCGGGAUGACGGCCUUCGGGUUGUAAACCGCUUUCGCCUGUGACGAAGCGUGAGUGACGGUAAUGGGUAAAGAAGCACCGGCUAACUACGUG
RNAcentral lists this ribosomal RNA (468 nucleotides) under uncultured bacterium. RNAcentral's name for it is "partial 16S ribosomal RNA". It matches the Rfam family "Bacterial small subunit ribosomal RNA", at positions 28 to 507 of the family's 1533-position model. The record is from RNAcentral.